CAAUAGUGUAUCUUAACGUUGUUGCAGUUAAAAAGCUCGUAGUUGAAUUUCUGGGGGGGUGUUUCAAGGUACGUCCUGAUUCUGCCCUCUCAUCCGCUUUGGAACCAGGAGGGGUAUUUAGUUAUCGGCCUGGGGAAGGGGCAUUUUACUUUGAAGAAAUUAGAGUGUUCCAGGCAGGCUUUGCUUGAAUACAUCAGCAUGGAAUAAUGGAAUAGGACAAUGUUCAUUUUAUUGGCUAUUGAACUUGUAAUGAUUAACAGGGACAGUUGGGGGCAUUCGUAUUCUGUUGUCAGAGGUGGAAUUCUUGGAUUAACUGAAGACGAACUAAUGCGAAAGCAUUUGCCAAGGAUGUUUUCAUUAA
This 361-nucleotide ribosomal RNA is filed under the name uncultured eukaryote. Its description in RNAcentral is "partial 18S ribosomal RNA". It matches the Rfam family "Eukaryotic small subunit ribosomal RNA", at positions 592 to 976 of the family's 1831-position model. The record is from RNAcentral.